Molecule: long non-coding RNA, 260 nt
Organism: Arabidopsis thaliana (thale cress)
Lineage: Eukaryota; Viridiplantae; Streptophyta; Magnoliopsida; Brassicales; Brassicaceae
Product: other RNA
Exons: 1
Source: RefSeq
CAGAAGAAGAAGAAAGAAAACAGAUAAAGAAGAAGAAGAAAGUUGAAGAGAACAAAGCAUAACUCUUUUUUGCUUCUCUUCUUCCUUGCAACAUCUUUGUCCGAAUCAAAACUUGUUUUUCUUGAGAGUAUUAAUCUCUAAGGUGCAGAGUUUGAGGUUUAUUUCUUUUGUAUAAGAAAUAUUCUUUUUUUCGAUUCUUUGUUUGGAGGUUUUUAAGAAAAAGAUGGAACAGAGGAUUUUGAUUUGGAAGUAUUUGUGAG